CUUGAAGGAAGAGCUUAAGUAAAUGAUGAUAUGUAGGGAAGUGAAACCAAUGCAGAUAAAGAUAUUAUAGUCUACUUACAGGAAGAGCUAUACUAAUUGUUGAUGUGUAUGGAAGGAAGACUAAGGCAGAUAAAAAUAACACAGUCUACUUGAAGGAAGAGCUUAAGUAAAUGAUGAUAUGCAGGGAAGUGAAACCAAGGCAGAUAAAGAUAUUACAGUCUACUUACAGGAAGAGCUAUACUAAAUAUUGAUGUGUAUAGAAGGAAGACUAAGGCUAAUAGACUGUCAUACUGAGCCAAACCUGUCUGAAAUAUCAAGACUGCAGCAAGGAAAAUUACCAGCAGAAACAGAAAUCUCAGUAUUGGCAAAAAAUAACUGAUCUAGACUACAAAGCGACUGGAAGUUUUUCUUACUGUGGCAAAAAUUGACACUAUUAUAAUUUUCAAUAGUUUUGAUGACUUAAGGACAAAAAAGCUUCUGUUAAAAAACAAAAAAAAAAAAAAAAAAACUGUGGUGUUGAACAUUUUGAUCUUUUCUAAAUAAUAUAUUUUAUGAACUUUG
Long non-coding RNA from Mercenaria mercenaria, 561 nucleotides. RefSeq lists it as uncharacterized. The record is from RefSeq and is a predicted model, not a curated record. NCBI's taxonomy places the organism in Eukaryota, Metazoa, Mollusca, Bivalvia, Venerida, Veneridae. The transcript has 2 exons.